GACGAACGCUGGCGGCGUGCUUAACACAUGCAAGUCGAACGAAAAGGCCCUGCUUUUUUGUGCUGCUCGAGUUGCUAGCGGGUGAGUAACUCGUGCGUAACCUACCCUUGACUUUGGGAUAACUUCCAGAAACUGAGGCUUAUUCCUGCUACAAGCUCCUUCUCCAUGGUGUGGGUUGUAGAGUUUCGGCGGUUGCGGAUGGACUCGCGGCUUAUCAGCUUGUUGGUGGGGUAGUGGCUUACCAAGGCUUUGACGGGUAGCCGGACUGAGAGGGUGACCGGCCACAGAGGGACUGAGAUACGGCCAAGACUGAUACGGGAGGAAGGAGUGGGGAAUAUAGGAAAAUGGGCGGAAGCCGGAUGGAGGAACGCCGCGUGCGGGAGGACGGCCUUCGGGGUGGAAAGCGCUUCCGCCGGUGAGGAAGAGGGAGUGACGGUAAUGGGUAAAGAAGCAACGGCUAACUACGUG
Molecule: ribosomal RNA, 468 nt
Filed under: uncultured bacterium
Lineage: Bacteria
Description: partial 16S ribosomal RNA
Rfam family: Bacterial small subunit ribosomal RNA
Source: RNAcentral